This 344-nucleotide small RNA is filed under the name Cryptococcus neoformans H99. RNAcentral describes it as "Cryptococcus neoformans var. grubii H99 hypothetical RNA". The record is from RNAcentral. Lineage: Eukaryota; Fungi; Basidiomycota; Tremellomycetes; Tremellales; Cryptococcaceae.
CUGGCAUCAGGACGUAAACACCACGUACAAUAGGGUGAGAUGUCUCCCAUGCUAACUGGUGACGCCUUUGGCGUAAGGCUGAGGUACUCCUGCCUGUACUACGGUCCAAGCAAAAGCUUAAGUGGUUCAUUCUUUCAGACACCACGACAUUGCAAUUCAUCAGCUUACUAUCAAUAUGUCGGUAAUUGCAUAUUGACAUGACUCAACGUAAACUGUAAAACUUACAUGCGAGGCUGCUGUUGCUAUGUACGACGAUAAACGCACCAAACUUCGUGUCAAACCUACCAUAAACGCGUUGUUUUGACCAAGAAUUAGAAUAGAGAUUGACUUCUUUUAUAAUGGCG